AGGGUGUAAACGCUGCAGACUUGGUGUUGGAAGCCCUUUGGGGGCAUUCAGUGCCGGAGAGAAGUUGUUAAGUCUGCUACUUGGGGAGUACGUCCGCAAGGAUGAAUCUUAAAGGAAUUGGCGGGGGAGCACCGCAACGGGAGGAGCGUGCGGUUUAAUUGGAUUCAACACCGUAAAACUCACCAGGGAAGACUGUUACAUGAAGGCCGAGAUGAAGACUCUGCUAGAUUUUCAGAGAGGUGGUGCAUGGCGUAGACGUCU
RNAcentral lists this ribosomal RNA (261 nucleotides) under uncultured archaeon. Its description in RNAcentral is "partial 16S ribosomal RNA". It matches the Rfam family "Archaeal small subunit ribosomal RNA", at positions 748 to 1009 of the family's 1478-position model. The record is from RNAcentral.